RNAcentral lists this ribosomal RNA (254 nucleotides) under uncultured bacterium. RNAcentral describes it as "partial 16S ribosomal RNA". It matches the Rfam family "Bacterial small subunit ribosomal RNA", at positions 524 to 776 of the family's 1533-position model. The record is from RNAcentral.
UACGGAGGGAGCGAGCGUUGUCCGCAGUUACUGGGCGUAAAGCGCGCGUAGGCGGGAAAUUAAGUGAGAAGUGAAAGGCUGGGGCUUAACCCCAUGCAGUGCUCCUCAUACUGGUUUUCUUGAGGGUGGUAGAGAGAAGUGGAAUGGCUGGUGUAGCGGUGAAAUGCGUAGAUAUCAGUCGGAACACCAGUGGCGAAGGCGGCUUCUUGGGCCAUUACUGACGCUGAGGCGCGAAAGCCAGGGGAGCGAACGGG